RNAcentral lists this unclassified non-coding RNA (642 nucleotides) under Hevea brasiliensis (rubber tree). The record is from RNAcentral. Lineage: Eukaryota; Viridiplantae; Streptophyta; Magnoliopsida; Malpighiales; Euphorbiaceae.
AUUAAAUCAACAUAAUUCCUAAAUAGCAUCUUCCUUAACUGCAUCAGUUAGCCUAGUGAUUCAAUACCAGGACUUUGAUUCUCCCAGUGUGUGCAUUGGGACAAUAAACCAUCACGCUAAUGGCCAAGUUCUAUGACUAAGAAAAUAUGGCAUAAGUAACAUGUGGUAAUGAACAUCAAUACCAUGUGUUUUUUAGGCUUUUAUUUUAUGCUCAUUGCAAAGCAUGUUAAGCAUUGAUUUUGUAAAUCCACUCUCAAAAACAAUUUUUACCCAUGCAUUGUCAUCAUUGGCAUUGUCACAACUAGAUUUUUACCCAUGCAUUUAUAAAAGUUUGGCUUUGACUAUCCAUGAUACAAGGAUCUUCUUCUUUGUGAAAUAUUUGUUGCUUUCAUUAAUUAACUAAAAUCUUUCCCCAUUUAAAUUUCUGCACUCUUAAACUUAGUGCUCACCAAAUUAUCAUAUCCAAUUAUUUUGUUAAAUCAUAAAUUUUGAAAGUCGAAUUUCUUAAUUUUGUAUUCUCUUCAAUUCCCUUUUAGCUAAAUUCAUUGCAAGGCUAACCAAAGUGGAAAUUUAUAAAAAAUCAUAUUUGCACAUUCCCUAAUGUUAGUAAACAAAAAAGGGGGGGCUGGUUUGGCCAAGCAG